RNAcentral lists this long non-coding RNA (1338 nucleotides) under Sinocyclocheilus grahami. Its description in RNAcentral is "lncRNA (ENSSGRG00000016806.1)". The record is from RNAcentral. Lineage: Eukaryota; Metazoa; Chordata; Actinopteri; Cypriniformes; Cyprinidae.
AUGUCAAUCAAACGCUGUGAUCUUCCCUCUAUAUGUAGCAUUCCUGUGAAAGAUCAAGUUACAUACUUAGGAAUUUUAAUUAAUAAAGACCAAAAAGCAAGAUGUAAUCUAAAUUUCGACCCUCUAAUAGUGAAAACCCAAAGAAAAGUUAACUCGUGGCUGCAGAGAGAUUUAUCAAUAAGAGGAAGAAUUUUACUCUCUAAAGCCGAAGGAUUGUCUCGACUGACUUAUGCUGCUCUUUCCUUGGAGGUUGAUAAAGGAACAUUAAAAAGAAAUGACAGCAUGUUAAACAAUUUUGUUUGGAAAAACAAAAUUCACUAUAUUAGGAAAUCUGUAAUAACGAACCCAACAAAACAGGGGGGACUGGAUUUUGUAGAUUUUACUACCUUAAAUAAUACUUUUAAAAUUAAUUGGCUUAAGAAUUUCCUUAAAAAUCCCUCCUCACUUUGGAAUUUUAUCCCAAAUUAUAUUUUCUCUAAAGUUGGUGGCCUGAAUUUCUUAUUAUUUUGUAAUUAUAAUGUUUUAAAAAUCCCAAUCAAACUUUCUAAUUUCCAUAAGCAGAUGCUCUUGGCCUGGUCCUUAAUUUACAAACACAACUUUUCUCCGCACAGAUAUUAUUUAUGGAACAAUAAGGAUAUUCUUUACAAGAAUAAAUCUCUUUUCUUUGACAACUGGUUCGAAAACAAUCUUCUUUUAGUUGGACAGCUUUUUAAUUCACAAGGCAGACUUUACAACUACUCUGAUUUCUUACAGAAAUAUAAUAAUCCUGUAUCUGCUGAUGCAUAUGCUAUUGUUUUCAAUGCCUUUCCCUCUGGUGUGUCUUUUCUGUUGCAAGGUACUACACUUCCAUGGCCAUGCACUUACACUCUGAAUUUAUCUGACACAAUGAUCGGAAGUGUUUGCUUUUCUACAGAUCAACAAAAAAAUAACUAUAAAAUUAGAGCUCUUUUUCAGGGAGAGAUAACAACUAUUCCUUACAUAAUACCUUAUUGGAAUAGCAUUGUGGAGAAUAUACCUUGGGAGAAAGUAUGGACCUUGCCUCAUAGAUAUCUGCUUACCAAUAAAGUAAAAGAAAUAACAUUUAAGUUGAUUCACAAAUGUUACCCAACUAAAGUCUUUCUUAGGAAAUAUAAGUCAGACAUUGAAGUGAGUUGCUGUUUUUGUCAUUCUUCUGAAGAAGACUUCAUUCAUUUGUUUUGGCAAUGCUCCUACACAGAAACAUUUUGGUCAGACUUUUUAGUGUUUAUUCAAUCUUUUGUAAGUGACUUCUCUUUUUGUUUUAAUGAUGCUUUCUUUGGUUUGUUUGACAAUUCAAAAGAGAACACUGGGAAAUAUUAA